AGCUUUGCGCAGUGGCAGUAUCGUAGCCUAUGAGGUUUAUCCGAGGCGCGAUUAUUGCUAGUUGAAAACUUUACCCAAUACCCCGCCUAGACGACUUGAAAUAUAGUCGGCGACGGCAAUUUUUGAUAGUCUCCAAGGAGA
Small nuclear RNA from Larimichthys crocea (large yellow croaker), 141 nucleotides. Its record names the gene U4. It matches the Rfam family "U4 spliceosomal RNA". Rfam says of the family: U4 small nuclear RNA (U4 snRNA) is a component of the major U2-dependent spliceosome. NCBI's taxonomy places the organism in Eukaryota, Metazoa, Chordata, Actinopteri, Sciaenidae. The record is from Ensembl.